RNAcentral lists this ribosomal RNA (253 nucleotides) under uncultured bacterium. Its description in RNAcentral is "partial 16S ribosomal RNA". It matches the Rfam family "Bacterial small subunit ribosomal RNA", at positions 524 to 776 of the family's 1533-position model. The record is from RNAcentral.
UACGUAGGUGGCAAGCGUUGUUCGGAAUUACUGGGCGUAAAGGGCUCGUAGGUGGCCAACUAAGUCAGACGUGAAAUCCCUCAGCUUAACUGGGGAACUGCGUCUGAUACUGGAUGGCUUGAGUUUGGGAGAGGGAUGCGGAAUUCCAGGUGUAGCGGUGAAAUGCGUAGAUAUCUGGAGGAACACCGGUGGCGAAGGCGGCAUCCUGGACCAACACUGACACUGAGGAGCGAAAGCCAGGGGAGCAAACGGG